RNAcentral lists this ribosomal RNA (206 nucleotides) under uncultured bacterium. RNAcentral's name for it is "partial 16S ribosomal RNA". It matches the Rfam family "Bacterial small subunit ribosomal RNA", at positions 568 to 774 of the family's 1533-position model. The record is from RNAcentral.
UGCGUAGGCGGUGCAGCAAGUCGGGAGUGAAAUACCUCAGCUUAACUGAGGAACUGCUUUCGAUACUGCUGUGCUUGAGUAAGACAGAGGUAAGCGGAACUUAGGGUGGAGCGGUGAAAUGCGUUGAUAUCCUAAGGAACACCGGUGGCGAAGGCGGCUUACUGGGUCUUAACUGACGCUGAGGCACGAAAGCCAGGUAGCAAACG